Molecule: ribosomal RNA, 530 nt
Filed under: uncultured bacterium
Lineage: Bacteria
Description: bacterial SSU rRNA
Rfam family: Bacterial small subunit ribosomal RNA
Source: RNAcentral
AAUAGAUACCCAGGUAGUCCAUGCCGUAAACGUUGGGCGCUAGAUGUGGGGACCAUUCCACGGUUUCCGUGUCGCAGCUAACGCAUUAAGCGCCCCGCCUGGGGAGUACGGCCGCAAGGCUAAAACUCAAAGGAAUUGACGGGGGCCCGCACAAGCGGCGGAGCAUGCGGAUUAAUUCGAUGCAACGCGAAGAACCUUACCAAGGCUUGACAUAUACGAGAACGCUCUAGAAAUAGAGAACUCUUUGGACACUCGUAUACAGGUGGUGCAUGGUUGUCGUCAGCUCGUGUCGUGAGAUGUUGGGUUAAGUCCCGCAACGAGCGCAACCCUCGUUCUAUGUUGCCAGCGGUUCGGCCGGGAACUCAUAGGAGACUGCCGGGGUCAACGUCGGAGGAAGGUGGGGAUGACGUCAAAUCAUCAUGCCCCUUAUGUCUUGGGCUUCACGCAUGCUACAAUGGCCGGUACAAAGGGCUGCAAUACCGGUAAGGUGGAGCGAAUCCCAAAAAGCCGGUCUCAGUUCGGAUUGAGGU